AAGUCGAGCGGUAACAGAUCUAGCUUGCUAGAUGCUGUAGAGCGGCGGACGGGUGAGUAACGCGUAGAAAUCUGCCCAGUAGUGGGGGAUAACCCGAGGAAACUCGGGCUAAUACCGCAUACAUCCUACGGGAAAAAGUGGGGGACCUUCGGGCCUCACGCUAUUGGAUGAGUCUGCGUCGGAUUAGCUAGUUGGCGGGGUAAAGGCCCACCAAGGCGACGAUCCGUAGCUGGUCUGAGAGGAUGAUCAGUCACACCGGAACUGAGACACGGUCCGGACUCCUACGGGAGGCAGCAGUGGGGAAUAUUGGACAAUGGGGGCAACCCUGAUCCAGCCAUGCCGCGUGUGUGAAGAAGGCUUUCGGGUUGUAAAGCACUUUCAGUAGGGAGAAAGGCUUUAGCUUAAUACACGGCUUGCCCUGACGUUACCAACAGAAGAAGCACCGGCUAACUCCGUGCCAGCAGCCGCGGAAAUACGGAGGGUGCAAGCGUUAAUCGGAAUUACUGGGCGUAAAGCGCGCGUAGGCGGUUUGAUCAGUUGGAUGUGAAAGCCCAGGGCUCAACCUUGGAACUGCAUUCAAUACUGGCAGGCUAGAGUAUGGUAGAGGUGAGUGGAAUUUCCUGUGUAGCGGUGAAAUGCGUAGAUAUAGGAAGGAACACCAGUGGCGAAGGCGACUCACUGGACCAAUACUGACACUGAGGUGCGAAAGCGUGGGGAGCAAACAGGAUUAGAUACCCUGGUAGUCCACGCUGUAAACGAUGUCAACUAGCCGUUGGGGGGGAAAGUACCUUUAGUAUCGAAGCUAACGCGUUAAGUUCUCCGCCUGGGGAGUACGGCCGCAAGGCUAAAACUCAAAUGAAUUGACGGGGGCCCGCACAAGCGGUGGAGCAUGUGGUUUAAUUCGAUGCAACGCGAAGAACCUUACCACUCCUUGACAUCCUGCGAACUUUCUUGAGAAAGAUUGGUGCCUUCGGGAACGCAGUGACAGGUGCUGCAUGGCUGUCGUCAGCUCGUGUUGUGAAAUGUUGGGUUAAGUCCCGUAACGAGCGCAACCCUUGUCCUUAGUUGCCAGCGCGUAAUGGCGGGGACUCUAAGGAGACUGCCGGUGACAAACCGGAGGAAGGUGGGGACGACGUCAAGUCAUCAUGGCCCUUACGGAGUGGGCUACACACGUGCUACAAUGGCCGGUACAAAGGGUUGCCAAGCCGCGAGGUGGAGCUAAUCCCAUAAAACCGGUCGUAGUCCGGAUUGGAGUCUGCAACUCGACUCCAUGAAGUCGGAAUCGCUAGUAAUCGUGGAUCAGCAUGCCACGGUGAAUACGUUCCCGGGCCUUGUACACACCGCCCGUCACACCAUGGGAGUGGGUUGCACCAGAAGUAGCUAGACUAACCUUCGGGAGGUCGG
Molecule: ribosomal RNA, 1404 nt
Filed under: uncultured prokaryote
Description: partial 16S ribosomal RNA
Rfam family: Bacterial small subunit ribosomal RNA
Source: RNAcentral